GAUUCCCUACCAUGUACGUGAUGGAGAAGAUAUUUUUUAGCCAACACUUUGAGCCCGGAAGCCCGAUAUCUGGCCGGUGAUGUCAGGCCCGCCGAGACCGGGAAGGCUGAACCGGUCGUGAGGGCAUCCACCUUUCGUAUGGGCUUAAAAGGAUUCUUCACACACGGCAUCGAGUGGGGAAUUU
RNAcentral lists this non-coding RNA (184 nucleotides) under bacterium. RNAcentral describes it as "6S RNA". It matches the Rfam family "6S / SsrS RNA". Rfam says of the family: E. coli 6S RNA was the first non coding RNA to be sequenced, but its function was unknown until recently. The record is from RNAcentral.